This is a small nuclear RNA of Octodon degus (degu), 105 nucleotides long. The record is from Ensembl. Lineage: Eukaryota; Metazoa; Chordata; Mammalia; Rodentia; Octodontidae.
GACUGCAAUAUCGGGUCUGGUACUCAAAUUGGAACAACACAGUGAAGAUUAGCAUGGCCCCUGCACAAGGGUGACGUGGCCAUUCAUGAAGUGAAGUCCUGGGCU